RNAcentral lists this ribosomal RNA (494 nucleotides) under uncultured bacterium. Its description in RNAcentral is "partial 16S ribosomal RNA". It matches the Rfam family "Bacterial small subunit ribosomal RNA", at positions 28 to 507 of the family's 1533-position model. The record is from RNAcentral.
GACGAACGCUGGCGGCGUGCUUAACACAUGCAAGUCGAACGGUGAAGCGCCUUCCUUUUUGGUGGGUGUGGAUGAGUGGCGAACGGGUGAGUAACACGUGAGUAACCUGCCCCCUUCUUCUGGAUAACCGCAUGAAAGUGUGGCUAAUACGGGAUAUUCUGGGUCUGUCGCAUGAUGGGUCUGGGAAAGAUAUUGUUUCGGUGGGGGAUGGGCUCGCGGCCUAUCAGCUUGUUGGUGGGGUGAUGGCCUACCAAGGCGGUGACGGGUAGCCGGCCUGGGGGGGUGGACGGUCACACGGGGACUGAGACACGGCCCAGACUCCUACGGGAGGCAGCAGUGGGGAAUAUUGCACAAUGGGCGCAAGCCUGAUGCAGCGACGCCGCGGGAGGGAUGGAGGCCUUCGGGUUGUGAACCUCUUUCGCCAGUGAAGCAGGCCUGCCUCGUUUGUGGGUGGGUUGACGGUAGCUGGAUAAGAAGCGCCGGCUAACUACGUG